UACGGAGGGUGCAAGCGUUAUCCGGAUUCCCUGGGUUUAAAGGGUGCGUAGGCGGGCAGGUAAGUCAGUGGUGAAAUCUCCGAGCUUAACUCGGAAACUGCCGUUGAUACUAUCUGUCUUGAAUAUUGUGGAGGUAAGCGGAAUAUGUCAUGUAGCGGUGAAAUGCUUAGAUAUGACAUAGAACACCUAUUGCGAAGGCAGCUUACUACGCAAUCAUUGACGCUGAGGCACGAAAGCGUGAGGAUCAAACAGG
Molecule: ribosomal RNA, 253 nt
Filed under: uncultured bacterium
Lineage: Bacteria
Description: partial 16S ribosomal RNA
Rfam family: Bacterial small subunit ribosomal RNA
Source: RNAcentral